CCUACGGGAGGCAGCAGUAGGGAAUCUUCGGCAAUGGACGGAAGUCUGACCGAGCAACGCCGCGUGAGUGAAGAAGGUUUUCGGAUCGUAAAGCUCUGUUGUAAGAGAAGAACGAGUGUGAGAGUGGAAAGUUCACACUGUGACGGUAUCUUACCAGAAAGGGACGGCUAACUACGUGCCAGCAGCCGCGGUAAUACGUAGGUCCCGAGCGUUGUCCGGAUUCAUUGGGCGUAAAGCGAGCGCAGGCGGUCAAUUAAGUCUGAUGUGAAAGCCCCCGGCUCAACCGGGGAGGGUCAUUGGAAACUGGUUGACUUGAGUGCAGAAGAGGAGAGUGGAAUUCCAUGUGUAGCGGUGAAAUGCGUAGAUAUAUGGAGGAACACCGGUGGCGAAAGCGGCUCUCUGGCUUGUAACUGACGCUGAGGCUCGAAAGCGUGGGGAGCAAACAGGAUUAGAUACCCUGGUAGUCCACGCCGUAAACGAUGAGUGCUAGGUGUUAGACCCUUUCCGGGGUUUAGUGCCGUAGCUAACGCAUUAAGCACUCCGCCUGGGGAGUACGACCGCAAGGUUGAAACUCAAAGGAAUUGACGG
This 588-nucleotide ribosomal RNA is filed under the name uncultured bacterium. Its description in RNAcentral is "bacterial SSU rRNA". It matches the Rfam family "Bacterial small subunit ribosomal RNA", at positions 338 to 916 of the family's 1533-position model. The record is from RNAcentral.